RNAcentral lists this unclassified non-coding RNA (329 nucleotides) under Hevea brasiliensis (rubber tree). Lineage: Eukaryota; Viridiplantae; Streptophyta; Magnoliopsida; Malpighiales; Euphorbiaceae. The record is from RNAcentral.
AGGAAGAUUUGAAAUCGAGCAAUGCUCAUUGCAUUGCAUACUGGAUAAAGGAUCGCAAAAAGGUUAUGAAAGUGCAUGAAUUGAGGCAAAAACUUAGGAUGCGAGGUCUUCGUUGCCAUCCAAUGUAUUGCAGGAGCUCAACAAGGAUGCAAAUCAUUCCUCUCUUGGCAUCUCGAGCACAAGCACUCAGGUACCUUUUUGUCCGUUGGAGGUUGAAUGUUGCAAACAUGUAUGUAAUUCUUGGUGAAACUGGAGACACUGACUAUGAGGAAAUGAUAUCUGGGGCUCAUAAGACCAUGAUAAUGAAAGAUGUGGUGACAAUAGGAUCC